This 548-nucleotide ribosomal RNA is filed under the name Salmonella enterica subsp. enterica serovar Oranienburg. Its description in RNAcentral is "bacterial SSU rRNA". It matches the Rfam family "Bacterial small subunit ribosomal RNA", at positions 997 to 1533 of the family's 1533-position model. Lineage: Bacteria; Pseudomonadati; Pseudomonadota; Gammaproteobacteria; Enterobacterales; Enterobacteriaceae. The record is from RNAcentral. RNAcentral also lists the same sequence under 1 other name.
UUUCCAGAGAUGGAUUGGUGCCUUCGGGAACCGUGAGACAGGUGCUGCAUGGCUGUCGUCAGCUCGUGUUGUGAAAUGUUGGGUUAAGUCCCGCAACGAGCGCAACCCUUAUCCUUUGUUGCCAGCGAUUCGGUCGGGAACUCAAAGGAGACUGCCAGUGAUAAACUGGAGGAAGGUGGGGAUGACGUCAAGUCAUCAUGGCCCUUACGACCAGGGCUACACACGUGCUACAAUGGCGCAUACAAAGAGAAGCGACCUCGCGAGAGCAAGCGGAUCUCAUAAAGUGCGUCGUAGUCCGGAUUGGAGUCUGCAACUCGACUCCAUGAAGUCGGAAUCGCUAGUAAUCGUGGAUCAGAAUGCCACGGUGAAUACGUUCCCGGGCCUUGUACACACCGCCCGUCACACCAUGGGAGUGGGUUGCAAAAGAAGUAGGUAGCUUAACCUUCGGGAGGGCGCUUACCACUUUGUGAUUCAUGACUGGGGUGAAGUCGUAACAAGGUAACCGUAGGGGAACCUGCGGUUGGAUCACCUCCUUACCUUAAAGAAGC